RNAcentral lists this non-coding RNA (32 nucleotides) under Geobacter sulfurreducens PCA. The record is from RNAcentral. Lineage: Bacteria; Pseudomonadati; Thermodesulfobacteriota; Desulfuromonadia; Geobacterales; Geobacteraceae.
CACGUGCACUCGGUUGAGGAUGUCGCCAUAAG